AGUGAACGCUGGCGGCGUGCUUAACACAUGCAAGUCGAACGAGAACGGAUUAUAGCUUGCUAUAAUUGUCAGCUAAGUGGCGCACGGGUGAGUAAUGUAUAGAUAACCUGCCCUUAAGAAAGGAAUAACAGUUGGAAACGACUGCUAAUGCCCUAUAUGCCUUUAAUACAUAAGUAUACAAGGGAAACGCUUUAGUGCUUAAGGAUGGGUCUGUAUGGUAUCAGCUUGUUGGUGAGGUAAUGGCUCACCAAGGCUAUGACGCCUAACUGGUUUGAGAGGAUGAUCAGUCACACUGGAACUGAGACACGGUCCAGACUCCUACGGGAGGCAGCAGUGGGGAAUAUUGCACAAUGGACGAAAGUCUGAUGCAGCAACGCCGCGUGGAGGAUGACACAUUUCGGUGCGUAAACUCCUUUUAUAUAGGAAGAUAAUGACGGUACUAUAUGAAUAAGCACCGGCUAACUCCGUGCCAGCAGCCGCGGUAAUACGGAGGGUGCAAGCGUUACUCGGAAUCACUGGGCGUAAAGAGCGUGUAGGCGGGUAUAUAAGUCAGAAGUGAAAUCCAAUAGCUCAACUAUUGAACUGCUUUUGAAACUGUAUACCUAGAAUGUGGGAGAGGUAGAUGGAAUUUCUGGUGUAGGGGUAAAAUCCGUAGAGAUCAGAAGGAAUACCGAUUGCGAAGGCGAUCUACUGGAACAUUAUUGACGCUGAGACGCGAAAGCGUGGGGAGCAAACA
This 736-nucleotide ribosomal RNA is filed under the name uncultured Arcobacter sp. RNAcentral describes it as "bacterial SSU rRNA". It matches the Rfam family "Bacterial small subunit ribosomal RNA", at positions 28 to 774 of the family's 1533-position model. The record is from RNAcentral. Lineage: Bacteria; Pseudomonadati; Campylobacterota; Epsilonproteobacteria; Campylobacterales; Arcobacteraceae.